CUGAACGCUGGCGGCAUGCCUUACACAUGCAAGUCGAACGGUAACAGGUUAAGCUGACGAGUGGCGAACGGGUGAGUAAUGUAUCGGAACGUGCCCAGUCGUGGGGGAUAACUGCUCGAAAGAGCAGCUAAUACCGCAUACGACCUGAGGGUGAAAGCGGGGGAUCGCAAGACCUCGCGCGAUUGGAGCGGCCGAUAUCAGAUUAGGUAGUUGGUGAGGUAAAGGCUCACCAAGCCGACGAUCUGUAGCUG
Molecule: ribosomal RNA, 251 nt
Filed under: uncultured bacterium
Lineage: Bacteria
Description: partial 16S ribosomal RNA
Rfam family: Bacterial small subunit ribosomal RNA
Source: RNAcentral